AUGAACGCUGGCGGCGUGCUUAACACAUGCAAGUCGAACGAAGCACUGAAGAAUGGAGAUUCGUCAAAGUUCUUCUUUGACUGAGUGGCGAACGGGUGAGUAAUGCGUGAGCAACCUGCCCUUCAGAGGGGGACAACAGUUGGAAACGACUGCUAAUACCGCAUGACGUGUUCGGGAGGCAUCUCUUGGAUACCAAAGGAGAAAUCCGCUGAAGGAUGGGCUCACGUCUGAUUAGCUAGUUGGCGGGGCAACGGCCCACCAAGGCGACGAUCAGUAGCCGGACUGAGAGGAUGAACGGCCACAUUGGGACUGAGACACGGCCCAGACUCCUACGGGAGGCAGCAGUGGGGAAUCUUCCGCAAUGGGCGCAAGCCUGACGGAGCAACGCCGCGUGAGUGAGGAAGUUCUUCGGAACGUAAAGCUCUGUUGUUCCUGACGAACCUCCCUUCUAUCAACAACGGAGGGGACUGACGGUAGGGAACGAGGAAGCCACGGCUAACUACGUGCCAGCCGCCGC
RNAcentral lists this ribosomal RNA (517 nucleotides) under uncultured bacterium. RNAcentral's name for it is "bacterial SSU rRNA". It matches the Rfam family "Bacterial small subunit ribosomal RNA", at positions 29 to 518 of the family's 1533-position model. The record is from RNAcentral.